This 1384-nucleotide long non-coding RNA is filed under the name Podarcis muralis (Common wall lizard). RNAcentral's name for it is "lncRNA (ENSPMRG00000000843.1)". The record is from RNAcentral. Lineage: Eukaryota; Metazoa; Chordata; Lepidosauria; Squamata; Lacertidae.
AGGAAACACGCAUACCUAUAGAUUCUUUCUCUCUCUCAAAAUAAAUAACACAUCUGGAUAUCUGGAAUGGCCCACACUCUCGCGCACCUACCCGUAUUCAAUCUCUUUCUCUUUCUGCAAGCAAAGGGCACACCAGGAAUGACCAUGGGGAGCGGGGAGAGAUGGAACCUCUCACGCAGAGCCUCAGGGGAAAGCUGCUGCCCUUUCCGCUCCCACCCCCGCCAUGAGCUGAUGGAGAAGGAAGAUUUAAUUGUUUUCUCCAGCAGGUCAGUCAUCAAGAGAUGCCAGGAGGUUCCAAGGCAGAAGCCCCUGGGCAAAGCCUCUUCUAUCCUCUCUUUGAGUGCUUAGCAAAAUCGGAGAAAAUGCAUGCAGCAUGCCUGACCUUGAAAAACAUUCAGCCUGAUCCUGUGCUUGCUUACUUGAAAGUAAACCGCACUGGUUCCAAUGGGUCUUACGCCCUAUUAGAAUUUCACCAGAUAUUUUCCAAGCAAGAGAGAGCACCCAAAUUCUCCCACAGUUUUCUCCAAAACGAAAAUUUUUAAAGGUUUGUUGGAACUUGGGGGGAGGGUAGGAUUUUGGCUCAGCCCUAACUGAGAUUUAACUGAAAAAGGAUGCCAGCUACAGCUGGAAUGGCACAUUCAUGCCAAAACACACGGCUUGUCCUAGGCAUAUUACCCUCCAUUUGCCAAAGUGACACAUCUCUUGAAAGACUUGAGGUGAUACAACUUUUCCACAGAGUUUGCUAUGUGAUGGUUGUUUCACAUGUGCAAGGCCUACUCGGUCAUCAUUACGAGCAUGCUGUACAUCAAGUCAGGCCAUUGGUCCAUCGAGCUGAAUAUUGUCUACAUUGACUGGAGCAGGGUAGUCUCUCUCACACCUGCUUGGAGAUAUCAGGAACCACACCUUUCAUGUGCAAAGCAAGUGCUCUACCCCUCAGCUACAACCUCUUCCACAUGCGUGAGUUUACCUGUACUUGUACCACUAAUAUUGCACCACAACUGCUUUUCAGUAGCGUAGUAUCUCUAUGCAUCUUCUGAACAUGAUCAAAGAAUUGUAGAAUUGUAGGAUGGGAAGGGACUCCUAGGGAAGAAGAAGAAGAAGAAGAGUUUGGAUUUGAUAUCCCGCCUUUCACUCCCCUUCAGGAGUCUCAAAGCGGCUAACAUUCUCCUUUCCCUUCCUCCCCCACAACAAACACUCUGUGAGGUGAGUGGGGCUGAGAGACUUCAAAGAAGUGUGACUAGCCCAAGGUCACCCAGCAGCUGCAUGUGGAGGAGCGGAGAUGCGAACAUGUGUGUAAUAUGGACCAUUUGAGUGGGGAGAAAUAGCACCAAACUCCAAAGAUUCUGGAGCAUCCCAUGCAGUAGCAGUUGGUGGGCCAGCAGCG